CAACGAACACUCACGUUCACGUUCACGUGAUCACGUAUCACGUUUUGCGCUGUUUCGUAAAAUAGGUGACUCUAAUUUACGAAGUGUAGGGUCUACCAUUCGUUGUUUUCCACGCCAGUAAAACACGAAUGAUCACGUCUUCCAAAACGUGACGUGAGUGUUUAAUCAAUAUUUUUAUAAUUGCAAGCGCUUGUUACUAAGACUAGUCAUGACGUCACCGUAAUAUGUAUGAUUUGUGUGUGUACGAGUGUAUACGUAUCGCCUGCGCCUAGCUAGCUGACAACAAAGUCGGAGAAUGGAUUGAAACUAAAGAGCUGAAAGAAGUUAACAACAUGAAGCAGAAAGUCCCAUGCAGGAUGAUGCUUCUCUACAGUGGGUGAUGAAGGCAUGCUGGUUUACAAACUCAGGAGAGGAACAAAGAAGAGAUAUUGACGGGAUCAUAUCUAGAGAUGCGGGCCUACUACACUUCCUACGAGCAAGUGUGCUAAUAUACAUGUAGGUACCCCAAUAAACUUUUGUGGAACACAUGUCAUGCAGAAAAUUAUAGAUCUGACGAAUAAUUGACUGAAUAUCACAAUUGUGAUUUAGAUUAAAAAUUAAAUGUCAAUAUAGAUGAAAUAUAAGUCUACGUUACGUGUGUUUCAGUAGCAUUAUUUCCAGUAUAUUCUCUGGUCCAAGUUGUUUGGUCAUUUUAUGUCCCAUACUUAAAGGUAAUACACAGUUUUAGUAUGGGGUC
RNAcentral lists this long non-coding RNA (736 nucleotides) under Strongylocentrotus purpuratus (purple sea urchin). RNAcentral describes it as "uncharacterized LOC115928111". Lineage: Eukaryota; Metazoa; Echinodermata; Echinoidea; Camarodonta; Strongylocentrotidae. The record is from RNAcentral.